This 480-nucleotide ribosomal RNA is filed under the name uncultured bacterium. Its description in RNAcentral is "bacterial SSU rRNA". It matches the Rfam family "Bacterial small subunit ribosomal RNA", at positions 28 to 502 of the family's 1533-position model. The record is from RNAcentral.
GAUGAACGCUAGCGGCAGGCUUAAUACAUGCAAGUCGUGGGGCAGCAUGAGUAGCAAUACUUGAUGGCGACCGGCAAACGGGUGAGGAACACGUACACAACCUUCCUUCAAGCGGGGAAUAGCCCAGAGAAAUUUGGAUUAAUACCCCCAUAAUAUAUUUGAUAAGGCAUCUUAUUAAUAUUAAAGCUUCGGCACUUGAUGAUGGGUGUGCGGCUGAUUAGAUAGUUGGCGGGUAACGGCCCACCAAGUCUACGAUCAGUAGCUGAUGUGAGAGCAUGAUCAGCCACACGGGCACUGAGACACGGGCCCGACUCCUACGGGAGGCAGCAGUAAGGAAUAUUGGACAAUGGACGAAAGUCUGAUCCAGCCAUGCCGCGUGAAGGAUUAAGGUCCUCUGGAUUGUAAACUUCUUUUAUAUGGGACGAAAAAAGGGCAUUCUUGUUCACUUGACGGUACCAUAUGAAUAAGCACCGGCUAACU